RNAcentral lists this long non-coding RNA (308 nucleotides) under Zostera marina. RNAcentral describes it as "long non-coding RNA (ZMAR_LNC001625)". Lineage: Eukaryota; Viridiplantae; Streptophyta; Magnoliopsida; Alismatales; Zosteraceae. The record is from RNAcentral.
CGUCGUAAGUCUCUGGCCACGAAGCUCUGCUAAAAUUCCCUGGUGCUAAGAAUCGCCGGUUUUGACUAAUCAAAUCGCCGAUUUGUGCCUGUUUUUUUGGUAAUUUCGUCAAAUCACUUGUGGGACUUUGGUCCAUUAAGCCAAAUCGUCGGUUUCCAUUUGAAAUCAUCGAUUUGGCCUCCCACAUUUCGCUCACUAAGCCAAAUCAUCGGUUUCUAUUUGAAAUCUUCGAUUUGGUCUUACAGAUUUCGUUCCUUAAGCCAAAUCGCCGAUUUGGUUUUCUUGUGGAUCGUUUAUACAUUCAUCGC